Daphnia magna is the source of this 2301-nucleotide long non-coding RNA. RefSeq lists it as uncharacterized. The record is from RefSeq and is a predicted model, not a curated record. The transcript is spliced from 2 exons. NCBI's taxonomy places the organism in Eukaryota, Metazoa, Arthropoda, Branchiopoda, Diplostraca, Daphniidae.
CGCAUUCGCGAAUUUUUGGCUGAAGGCUAGAAGAGAGUCUUAACAAUGUUAGCGUUUUUUCUUUUUUGUUUCAUUUGACUCUUGCGGUUUCUGGGGUUGGGGUUGCGGUGCGAUGUCGCGACAUCAACAAGAUUUUUUUUGUUAGGUUUUGCCCAGUGCAAAUGUGACAUUCACCACAUGAUGUUCCAUGUGAUUUUUUGUUCUUUUUGUUGAUAUCUUUUGUUUGUUUGUUUUUUAAUCCCCGAAUUUUGUUAUGGAAGUGUUCGACUUUUUCUUUUGUUUGGCAUGUUUCCUUCCUUGUACGUACAAAACACAAUUUCUUAGACCGGCUCUAGGACGCACACGUCCUCGUGCACAGAUUCGGUGCAUUAUGCAACUCACGCGAUCAAACGACAAACGAGGAAAAAUAUUAAAAAAACGACACGAAACGCGCGGCGAUAUUCUCACGUCGGAAACCAAAAGUCUUCGUCAAACAUUUUUGCUGCGUUGUGCGCAUUUUUCCUAGUCCUCGAAUUCCAAUCCAAUUUGAAUAUCGAAUCAACAAUUUUCGGGGCACACACGCAAUAAUAAAACACGCAAGUAAAGGAGAACUAUCGUCACCAUCACAAGGAAUGAAAACAACAUGUACGAAAUUAUUAUUCAAAGCCUAAAGGCAAAAUGUAUAGACAAAAUUGACACGAGUCUUGAAGAAACCAAGAAAAAACCUAAAUCAUAAAGUGAAAGGUAUUAGAAUUUCACGUCAGCUUUGACGGACGGGCAAAACAAAAAAAAAAUGACGGGCCAAUGUCGAUGGUUGCACUCACGCCCGCACCUUCUAAUAAUAAUUCGUCGACGGUCGGCAAGCCCGUGCGACAUUUCAUCCUGGCCUUCCCUUACUCUUGUGUGGCGUCGUGAUUCUCUCAUCAUCAUGCAAUUUUUGUGUGUGUGUAAAUCUCCCAUCAAAGUUGUUAUAGACAUUUGCUAUUCGCCGUCAAUUGAUGAGAAGCUCUUUGCGGAGGUGGAACAGCAAAAAGAAAAGAAAAAUGAGAAAAUCCCCGAAACGCGCAAGAGAGAGUGGGAUGUGUAUAAAUAUAGAAAAAUAACCAUGUCAGUUGGGAGCCGGUUAUGCCAUUAUAGUCCCUCGUGCACGUAUAUAACAUCACUGAUAGCGUGCGACCUGUUUAUAAGCAAAUAAUCAGCCUUGCGCGGCCUUGUGCAUUUAUCAAGAACCUUGCGCCAUUGCGAUUCGGACAGGUACUUGUUGCUCAACCAAUGGAGACAAAUAAACAUGAAUAAUUGCAGUUUUACAUUGCAAAGUGGUACCCCUCGCUCCUACUAAGUUGUAGAAAGGGCUUUUCUUGAAAAGAACGAGUUUAAAAAAAUGGCUGGAACGACGUCUCGUCACAAUUUCGCCGCGUUUGUCCCAUCAUAGUUCGAUUCGCUUGACAAACGAUUGAUACAAUACAUUAAGAAUUAUGCGUAUAAAUAUUCUGCUUAUCGAUUCAAACUCCUUUUCCCUUGAUUUUCUGAGGCGAAUGGAAAGAAUGUUUCAUGUUUUGCCGUCGUAAAAAUCGGAAUAAAAUAUUUAAAUUUGAAGAAAAUUGGGAAAUUAGUAGAGAAGAGUUUGCCUUGGCCUAAUGAUUCACGUAAAUGGUUUGAGAUUACGAUCUGCCUGUAGGAUAAUGUCCGUUACGCGCAGAUACCUGAGAGUUAUUCUUCUCCUUUUUUUUUAAGUAUACACCAUUGCGCCACCAUCAAGGUCUACUGACGUCAUAGAAAAAGAAGAAGUGCUGCUGUAAAUCAGUUGGUGGUCGACGGAGGGAAAGACAACUCUUUCGACUUUGUCCGAUGCGUUUUCUUCUUCAAAAAAAUGUCGAUGCAAUCCAUCCGAUUACCGAAGAUCCGGCUAUCACCGAAACACAACAAUAGAUUUUAACUCUUGACUGUCGCUAUACAAUCGAACCGAAAACAAAAGGGACUCGCGUUGCCAUGGUCCAUGACAUCACGACCUUGGUCACGUGAUUUUGUUUAUCUGUUGCUUUUGCUCUCCCCCCUUUUUUCUCUCUUUCUUUGCUGCCCAAAGAAGAAAAUGACUUUUUUGGCCGCGACCAGGAGAGGGGAGGAAUUGGGAAAACUUGGUUACGUAUAUACGCGGAUGCACGACCCAGUCCUAUCCCUGAGACCCGCUGGCUAUCAAACGCUGCUCCUCUAUGCCGCCAUGGGGCUCACGACCUUCUUGUGCUUCGCUUCAUUAUAGAUGAUGUACACAAAAGAGGCUUAUAGUAUGAAUUAAUGUAGACCAUACACAGCAUAAAAAGUGAA